This 442-nucleotide ribosomal RNA is filed under the name uncultured Armatimonadota bacterium. RNAcentral's name for it is "uncultured Armatimonadetes bacterium partial 16S ribosomal RNA". Lineage: Bacteria; Bacillati; Armatimonadota. The record is from RNAcentral.
GACUACAGGGGUAUCUAAUCCUGUUUGCUCCCCACGCUUUCGCGCCUCAGCGUCAGAUAAUGCCCAGUGAACUGCCUUCGCCAUGGGUAUUCCUCCUGAUAUCUACGCAUUUCACCGCUACACCAGGAAUUCUAUUCACCUCUGCAUUCCUCAAGCCUGCCAGUAUGCGAAGCCGUUUCCGAGUUGAGCUCUGGAGAUUUCACUUCACACUUAACAGGCCGCCUACGCGCCCUUUACGCCCAGUAAAUCCGGACAACGCUUGCCCCCUACGUCUUACCGCGGCUGCUGGCACGUAGUUAGCCGGGGCUUAUUCACCAGGUACCGUCCUAAGUCUUUCCUGGUAAAAGGAGUUUACAGGCCUAGACCAUUCAUCCUCCACGCGGCGUCGCUGCAUCAGGGUUUCCCCCAUUGUGCAAGAUUCCCCACUGCUGCCCCCCGUAGG